CAGUCGCCGCGGUAAUACGUAGGGUGCGAGCGUUAAUCGGAAUUACUGGGCGUAAAGCGUGCGCAGGCGGUUCGUUAAGACAGAUGUGAAAUCCCCGGGCUUAACCUGGGAACUGCAUUUGUGACUGGCGAGCUAGAGUAUGGCAGAGGGGGGUAGAAUUCCACGUGUAGCAGUGAAAUGCGUAGAGAUGUGGAGGAAUACCGAUGGCGAAGGCAGCCCCCUGGGCCAAUACUGACGCUCAUGCACGAAAGCGUGGGGAGCAAACAGGAUUAGAUACCCCGGUAGUCCCUGUCUCUUAUAA
RNAcentral lists this ribosomal RNA (301 nucleotides) under uncultured bacterium. RNAcentral's name for it is "partial 16S ribosomal RNA". It matches the Rfam family "Bacterial small subunit ribosomal RNA", at positions 509 to 809 of the family's 1533-position model. The record is from RNAcentral.